Molecule: long non-coding RNA, 783 nt
Filed under: Monodelphis domestica (gray short-tailed opossum)
Lineage: Eukaryota; Metazoa; Chordata; Mammalia; Didelphimorphia; Didelphidae
Description: lncRNA (ENSMODG00000032043.2)
Source: RNAcentral
GAGAGAAUAAUUUGGGAUAUUGCCAUGACAGACAAGCAAAGCUACAGAUGAUCCUGAUUAUCUUUUCUUUAAUAAUUCAAUCAAUAUUUAUGAAGAACCUACUAUGUGCCAGACAUUAACAUACAAGGACAAAAAAAACAUCUCUAUGCAGACAGCAUCAGCAGGGCUGUUCCUUCAGUUCAAAGGUGAAGAUCGUUGAAGGCAAUGAUCUUCAAUAUAACUGAAGAGACUGAUGUAUGACCUUUGCUUUCCAACCAAGUGCAUUUAUAAUCUGCCCUGAGUCCGCAUCCAUAUUCAGAAGAGUCCAUCUGUGGCAGUCCUUGGCCCUGUCCCUGAGUUCGUGCAGUUCUGCCAAGGGGGAAAGCUUUGCAGGACAUUGCAUCUUUAGCCCUUGAAAUAUUAAGAUCUACAGAGCAUGGAAAAGGUAAGCUUGCCUCCUUGCAAUAUUCUGAGGGAAUUUUUUUUUUUGCUUAUCGUGAUUUAAGUUGUUUUAGUUAAAGGAGGUUUGAUGCUGCAGCUAUGCCAUGUCACAGAAACUGUUCUUGUUGCUACUCUUUAUGUCUGAAUAGGAGGAGGAGGAGAGAAAAAAGAAAAUCUUUUUACUACUCAUUUAAAAAAAAAGAAAGAAAACAGUGGUGCUUCACUUAAAUUAAAAAAAAAAAAAGACAAUCUAAUUGUUGGGGUGGUAACUUGCUUGGCUGGUUCCCAGAAAGAAAUAAUUAACUCAGAGAAAUGUUGAAGAUUUCACUAAGAUUUUCUCAGCUUCUGAGUGUAACUUCCCAG